This is a non-coding RNA of Vicugna pacos (alpaca), 229 nucleotides long. Lineage: Eukaryota; Metazoa; Chordata; Mammalia; Artiodactyla; Camelidae. The record is from RefSeq and is a predicted model, not a curated record.
UGGAGUUCCAGACGUGUGCUUGUCCUAGCAGGAGAGCGCAGCUACUCGUAUACCCUUGACCGAGAAGAACGGUCCUCCUCUAUCGGGGAUGGUCGUCCUCUUCGACCAAGCACGCAGCUUUGGGAGGGACGCACAUGGAGCGAUGAGGGAGGAAGGGGACACCCGCCCAGCCAGCCAGAUCAGCCGAAUCAACCCUGGUGAUCAAUGGGGUGACAGAUAGAUGGGAAGA